This 119-nucleotide ribosomal RNA is filed under the name Helianthus annuus (common sunflower). The record is from RNAcentral. Lineage: Eukaryota; Viridiplantae; Streptophyta; Magnoliopsida; Asterales; Asteraceae.
GGUUGCGAUUAUACCAGCACUAAUGCACCGGAUCCCAUCAGAACUCCGCAGUUAAGCGUGCUUGGGCGAGAGUAGUACUAGGAUCGGUGACCCCCUGGGAAGUCCUCGUGUUGCAACCC